GGUUAAGCGACUAAGCGUACACGGUGGAUGCCCUGGCAGUCAGAGGCGAUGAAGGACGUGCUAAUCUGCGAUAAGCGUCGGUAAGGUGAUAUGAACCGUUAUAACCGGCGAUUUCCGAAUGGGGAAACCCAGUGUGUUUCGACACACUAUCAUUAACUGAAUCCAUAGGUUAAUGAGGCGAACCGGGGGAACUGAAACAUCUAAGUACCCCGAGGAAAAGAAAUCAACCGAGAUUCCCCCAGUAGCGGCGAGCGAACGGGGAGCAGCCCAGAGCCUGAAUCAGUGUGUGUGUUAGUGGAAGCGUCUGGAAAGGCGCGCGAUACAGGGUGACAGCCCCGUACACAAAAAUGCACAUGCUGUGAGCUCGAUGAGUAGGGCGGGACACGUGGUAUCCUGUCUGAAUAUGGGGGGACCAUCCUCCAAGGCUAAAUACUCCUGACUGACCGAUAGUGAACCAGUACCGUGAGGGAAAGGCGAAAAGAACCCCGGCGAGGGGAGUGAAAAAGAACCUGAAACCGUGUACGUACAAGCAGUGGGAGCCUCUUUAUGGGGUGACUGCGUACCUUUUGUAUAAUGGGUCAGCGACUUAUAUUCUGUAGCAAGGUUAACCGAAUAGGGGAGCCGAAGGGAAACCGAGUCUUAACUGGGCGUUAAGUUGCAGGGUAUAGACCCGAAACCCGGUGAUCUAGCCAUGGGCAGGUUGAAGGUUGGGUAACACUAACUGGAGGACCGAACCGACUAAUGUUGAAAAAUUAGCGGAUGACUUGUGGCUGGGGGUGAAAGGCCAAUCAAACCGGGAGAUAGCUGGUUCUCCCCGAAAGCUAUUUAGGUAGCGCCUCGUGAACUCAUCUCCGGGGGUAGAGCACUGUUUCGGCAAGGGGGUCAUCCCGACUUACCAACCCGAUGCAAACUGCGAAUACCGGAGAAUGUUAUCACGGGAGACACACGGCGGGUGCUAACGUCCGUCGUGAAGAGGGAAACAACCCAGACCGCCAGCUAAGGUCCCAAAGUCAUGGUUAAGUGGGAAACGAUGUGGGAAGGCCCAGACAGCCAGGAUGUUGGCUUAGAAGCAGCCAUCAUUUAAAGAAAGCGUAAUAGCUCACUGGUCGAGUCGGCCUGCGCGGAAGAUGUAACGGGGCUAAACCAUGCACCGAAGCUGCGGCAGCGACGCUUAUGCGUUGUUGGGUAGGGGAGCGUUCUGUAAGCCUGCGAAGGUGUACUGUGAGGUAUGCUGGAGGUAUCAGAAGUGCGAAUGCUGACAUAAGUAACGAUAAAGCGGGUGAAAAGCCCGCUCGCCGGAAGACCAAGGGUUCCUGUCCAACGUUAAUCGGGGCAGGGUGAGUCGACCCCUAAGGCGAGGCCGAAAGGCGUAGUCGAUGGGAAACAGGUUAAUAUUCCUGUACUUGGUGUUACUGCGAAGGGGGGACGGAGAAGGCUAUGUUGGCCGGGCGACGGUUGUCCCGGUUUAAGCGUGUAGGCUGGUUUUCCAGGCAAAUCCGGAAAAUCAAGGCUGAGGCGUGAUGACGAGGCACUACGGUGCUGAAGCAACAAAUGCCCUGCUUCCAGGAAAAGCCUCUAAGCAUCAGGUAACAUCAAAUCGUACCCCAAACCGACACAGGUGGUCAGGUAGAGAAUACCAAGGCGCUUGAGAGAACUCGGGUGAAGGAACUAGGCAAAAUGGUGCCGUAACUUCGGGAGAAGGCACGCUGAUACGUAGGUGAAGUCCCUUGCGGAUGGAGCUGAAAUCAGUCGAAGAUACCAGCUGGCUGCAACUGUUUAUUAAAAACACAGCACUGUGCAAACACGAAAGUGGACGUAUACGGUGUGACGCCUGCCCGGUGCCGGAAGGUUAAUUGAUGGGGUUAGCGGUAACGCGAAGCUCUUGAUCGAAGCCCCGGUAAACGGCGGCCGUAACUAUAACGGUCCUAAGGUAGCGAAAUUCCUUGUCGGGUAAGUUCCGACCUGCACGAAUGGCGUAAUGAUGGCCAGGCUGUCUCCACCCGAGACUCAGUGAAAUUGAACUCGCUGUGAAGAUGCAGUGUACCCGCGGCAAGACGGAAAGACCCCGUGAACCUUUACUAUAGCUUGACACUGAACAUUGAGCCUUGAUGUGUAGGAUAGGUGGGAGGCUUUGAAGUGUGGACGCCAGUCUGCAUGGAGCCGACCUUGAAAUACCACCCUUUAAUGUUUGAUGUUCUAACGUUGGCCCCUAAUCGGGGUUGCGGACAGUGUCUGGUGGGUAGUUUGACUGGGGCGGUCUCCUCCUAAAGAGUAACGGAGGAGCACGAAGGUUGGCUAAUCCUGGUCGGACAUCAGGAGGUUAGUGCAAUGGCAUAAGCCAGCUUGACUGCGAGCGUGACGGCGCGAGCAGGUGCGAAAGCAGGUCAUAGUGAUCCGGUGGUUCUGAAUGGAAGGGCCAUCGCUCAACGGAUAAAAGGUACUCCGGGGAUAACAGGCUGAUACCGCCCAAGAGUUCAUAUCGACGGCGGUGUUUGGCACCUCGAUGUCGGCUCAUCACAUCCUGGGGCUGAAGUAGGUCCCAAGGGUAUGGCUGUUCGCCAUUUAAAGUGGUACGCGAGCUGGGUUUAGAACGUCGUGAGACAGUUCGGUCCCUAUCUGCCGUGGGCGCUGGAGAACUGAGGGGGGCUGCUCCUAGUACGAGAGGACCGGAGUGGACGCAUCACUGGUGUUCGGGUUGUCAUGCCAAUGGCACUGCCCGGUAGCUAAAUGCGGAAGAGAUAAGUGCUGAAAGCAUCUAAGCACGAAACUUGCCCCGAGAUGAGUUCUCCCUGACUCCUUGAGAGUCCUGAAGGAACGUUGAAGACGACGACGUUGAUAGGCCGGGUGUGUAAGCGCAGCGAUGCGUUGAGCUAACCGGUACUAAUGAACCGUGAGGCUUAACCUU
RNAcentral lists this ribosomal RNA (2905 nucleotides) under Escherichia coli. RNAcentral describes it as "23S ribosomal RNA". It matches the Rfam family "Bacterial large subunit ribosomal RNA". Lineage: Bacteria; Pseudomonadati; Pseudomonadota; Gammaproteobacteria; Enterobacterales; Enterobacteriaceae. The record is from RNAcentral.